UAGUCACUGCCCCGCCAUGAUCGUUUCUCAUUGUUUGCAUUUUUGGGCCAAAAAACUAGAAUUCCGCCCGAUUACCAUAUUUUUGUGUGCUAUUGCCCACGCCUUCCGAGUGGGACGGGCCCCCGGACUCGAAUCGCUUAAAUUUUUCCGGGACAUCAAAUAGGACCUAAGGAACCAUAGCCACUGCCUCGCCAUGAUCGUUCCACAUUUUUUGAAUUUUUCGGCCAAAAAACGUGAAUUCCGCCCGAUUUCCAUAUUUUUGUGUUCUAUAGCCCACGCCUUCCAAGUGGUCCCGGAACCCCCGGACCCCGAUCACCUAAGGUUUUUUCGGGCCAUCAAACACGACCUAAGGAAAUAUAGUAACCGCCCUGCCAUGAUCGUUCCUCAGGUUUUGCAUUUUUCGGCCAAACAACUAGAAUUCCGCGCGAUUCCCAUAUUUUCGUGUGCUAUAGCCCACGCCUUCCGAGU
This 468-nucleotide long non-coding RNA is filed under the name Nicotiana tabacum (common tobacco). Its description in RNAcentral is "long non-coding RNA (NTAB_LNC009767)". The record is from RNAcentral. Lineage: Eukaryota; Viridiplantae; Streptophyta; Magnoliopsida; Solanales; Solanaceae.